AGAGGAGAAGUGGAAUGAUAACCUAACUUUCUAUCUCAUGACGAGGCCUGCAAGUGAACUACAAAAUCUUUUAUCCUAAAUAUUCUAGCACUAUAGCAAUUAGCAAAAACUACCAACAUAUUAAGUAAGGAGGGCACAAACUUAUAUGGAAUACAUCUCAUGAUACCACCAAAUGGCCAAUUGAAGAAAAGCAAACAUUGUGAAUCAUAAUAGAUGUCAUACAAGAUG
This 228-nucleotide unclassified non-coding RNA is filed under the name Hevea brasiliensis (rubber tree). The record is from RNAcentral. Lineage: Eukaryota; Viridiplantae; Streptophyta; Magnoliopsida; Malpighiales; Euphorbiaceae.